CAUGUCCUUUUGAUUAUAAUUUAAGGUCUAAUCUGCCCAAUGAGGUUUUUGAAUGGCCGCAGUAUUUUGACUGUGCUAAGGUAGCAUAAUCAAUAGUUUUUUAAUUGAAAGCUAGAAUGAAUGAUUGAAUGAGAAAAUAACUGUCUCAAGCUUAAUAUUUUGAAUUUUAUUUUUAAGUUAAAAAGCUUAAAUAAAGUUAAAAGACGAGAAGACCCUAUAGAGUUUGAUAUUAAAUUAUUUAAAAAUAAAUUAUUUGAUUAAUUUUAUAUUUAUUUAAUAUUUGGUUGGGGUGAUUAAAAAAUUAAAUAAACUUUUUUUUAUUUUUUACAUAAAUUAAUGAAUUUAUGAUCCUAAAAUUUAGAUUAUAAGAAUAAAUUACCUUAGGGAUAACAGCGUAAUUUUUUUUAAGAGUUCUUAUCGAAAAAAAAGAUUGCGACCUCGAUGUUGGAUUAAAAUUUUAUUUUGGUGUAGAAGCUAAAAUUAUAGGUCUGUUCGACCUUUAAAAUUUUACAUGAUCUGAGU
This 522-nucleotide ribosomal RNA is filed under the name Aplocnemus subcostatus. RNAcentral describes it as "partial 16S ribosomal RNA". The stretch from base 386 to 522 matches the Rfam family "Bacterial large subunit ribosomal RNA", at positions 2473 to 2610 of the family's 2925-position model. The record is from RNAcentral. Lineage: Eukaryota; Metazoa; Arthropoda; Insecta; Coleoptera; Rhadalidae.